GGACAGUCUCGCAAUGCACCGCAGUCAAACAAUAUUCAGUCCCCUAAGAGUAUUGCACUAGAAAAAAGACAUAACUUUACAGAAGGGAAGAAUGCUUGCUACUUGCUUGACUGGGCAGAUGUAAUUGUUGCUGAAGGUCGUUGGGAUUCUAGUGAUCCAAAGAUAACUGUACAUGGAAAGCCUCUUGGACCAGACUUUAUGCGAGUAUGGGUUGAUGUUGAUAUUGUACCAGAAUCUUAGUUAUUUCAUCCUAAUCAUGCGAUGCUUACAAUACAAGAAGCAGUUGGUUCCACAGUUGCAUGGCCUUCUAAAAAAGUUAUUCCAAGAGAUGUGACAAGCGAAGUAGAAAAUGAUACUUAAGACUCCUUGAAAGUAGUAACUUUGUUUAUUUCUUUGUGUUGAAAGUAGUAACUUUUAACUAUGUUGAAUAUUUAAGACUCCUUGAAUACUUAAAGAACAUUUUGUUGUUGA
Humulus lupulus (European hop) is the source of this 471-nucleotide long non-coding RNA. RefSeq lists it as uncharacterized. NCBI's taxonomy places the organism in Eukaryota, Viridiplantae, Streptophyta, Magnoliopsida, Rosales, Cannabaceae. The record is from RefSeq and is a predicted model, not a curated record. The transcript has 3 exons.